Molecule: ribosomal RNA, 702 nt
Filed under: uncultured fungus
Lineage: Eukaryota; Fungi
Description: LSU rRNA
Rfam family: Eukaryotic large subunit ribosomal RNA
Source: RNAcentral
AUUACCUCAGUAACGGCGAGUGAAGCGGUAACAGCUCAAAUUUGAAAUCUGGCUCUUUCAGGGUCCGAGUUGUAAUUUGUAGAAGAUGUUUCGGGUGUGGCUCCGGUCUAAGUUCCUUGGAACAGGACGUCGUAGAGGGUGAGAAUCCCGUAUGUGACUGGCUGCCUCCGCCCAUGUGAAACUCUUUCGACGAGUCGAGUUGUUUGGGAAUGCAGCUCAAAAUGGGUGGUAAAUUUCAUCUAAAGCUAAAUAUUGGCCAGAGACCGAUAGCGCACAAGUAGAGUGAUCGAAAGAUGAAAAGCACUUUGGAAAGAGAGUUAAACAGUACGUGAAAUUGUUGAAAGGGAAGCGCUUGCAAUCAGACUUGCGCGCGGCCGAUCAUCCGGGGUUCUCCCCGGUGCACUCGGUCGCGUUCAGGCCAGCAUCGGUUUGGGUGGUGGGAUAAAGGCCUUGGGAAUGUAGCUUCUUUCGGGGAGUGUUAUAGCCCUCGGUGCAAUGCCGCCUAUCCAGACCGAGGACCGCGCUUCGGCUAGGAUGCUGGCGUAAUGGUUGUAAGCGACCCGUCUUGAAACACGGACCAAGGAGUCUAACACUUAUGCGAGUAUUUGGGUGUCAAACCCAUAUGCGUAAUGAAAGUGAACGGAGGUGAGAACCCUUAAGGGUGCAUCAUCGACCGGUCCUGAUGUCUUCGGAUGGAUCUGA